CUACGGGAGGCAGCAGUGGGGAAUUUUGCGCAAUGGGGGAAACCCUGACGCAGCAAUGCCGCGUGAGUGAUGAGGGCCUUCGGGUUGUAAAGCUCUUUUAGUCAGGAAAAAACAAAUGAUGGUACUGACAGAAACAGCACCGGCUAACUCUGUGCCAGCAGCCGCGGUAAUACAGAGGGUGCAAGCGUUAUUCGGAAUUAUUGGGCGUAAAGCGCACGUAGGUGGUUUGGUAAGUCUGAUGUGAAAUCCCCGGACUCAAUUCGGGAAGUGCAUUGGAUACUGCUAGACUGGAGUAUGGGAGAGGUGAGUGGAAUUCCAGGUGUAGAGGUGAAAUUCGUAGAUAUCUGGAGGAACAACAGAGGCGAAGGCGGCUCACUGGACCAUUACUGACACUGAGGUGCGAAAGCGUGGGGAGCAAACAGGAUUAGAAACCCUUGUAGUCC
This 443-nucleotide ribosomal RNA is filed under the name uncultured bacterium. RNAcentral describes it as "bacterial SSU rRNA". It matches the Rfam family "Bacterial small subunit ribosomal RNA", at positions 339 to 796 of the family's 1533-position model. The record is from RNAcentral.